AUGUAGUCGAGUACAAACAGUCUACUCUCAUUGCAGUCUUUGGAAGUUAAUUCUGACUGAUAUACUGUUAUCUUCCACAGCAUGACAUAACACAUCUCAGGACGUGGUAGUGCUCCACUUUGUUGGAGAAUCUUCAUACUGAAGGGUAUAGUUCUUCUGAAACAGAUGUGCUAUGAAUUCCAAUAUUAACACAACCGUAACAAUGACCUGUAAAAAUAUUUGCGUGUGUGUGUCUGUGUGUGUGUGUGUGUGUGUGUGUGUGUGUGUGUGUGUGUGUGUGUGUGUGUGUGUGUGUGUGUGUGUGUGUGUGUGUGUGUUUGUUUUGUGAGUUUUGUAAUUUAGACCUCACUUGACCUCGCUCAGAGGUCCACGGUGCAAUGUUUUUUUUCACCACUGGGAUGCUGACGGCGUUACCCGCCUUAAAUUGGCCCUCAGCUGUCAAAACUUUGAGAACCCCUGUUGUAGACCAACUUCGGAAAACUGUAGUUCUACCAUAGAAACGCUAGAGGUCAGCAAUACUCCCCGUCGCGCAAUGACGUCGGUUAGGAAAAGUGGAGUCGAAUUCAUUUUAAACAGCGCUGUCUUUUCCUGUUUUAAAGGAAGCACAUUUCCAUCUCUCCUUGACCCGAUGACGUUUUCCACAAAGGUUAAGUAAAGGAUAGGAGAUUUGACUAUUCGUAGAGGAAUAGGGACACAGCUAAGGAGUCUCACCCAUAGAUAUAUAUAUUAACUAGAUGCUUCGUCCGCGCUGCUGGCCAAUGGAGUCGAACGUCACCACUGGCGGCCAUCUUACCACAGUAAGCUGCUCAGCCAUAACAUUGUGUUGGUAGUGGUACAUGUACUUUUUAAACAACCAUAACUUAACCAUUUUCAACCGAUUUUCAAACGGUUUGGUUUGUUAUAAUCGUCAGAGAUGUAGUUAUGACACUGAAUACUUUUGAUAGAAUAAUGAAAAAUAGAAUAAUGUUCUAAAAUAGGUACAAUAUCAUAACCACGUUAAUAACGUUUGUAAUAAACCAAACCGUUAUGGUUAAGUUAUGGUUAUUUAAAAAGUACAUGUACCACUACAAACACAAUGGUUGUGUUCGAAACCACCUACUUAUGGCAAGCCGAAUUGUCAUUUAUUAACUCAGUUUGACUAUCCGGAAUUUACAUUGCAGAUAUCUGCAAUUCAGUUUCGCCUAGUCAAAACUAACAUUUCGGAUAUCCGCAACUACAUUCCUCCUAUCCGCAAUUGUCAUUUCAGAUAUCCACAAAGACAUUCCUCCUAGGCGAAAUGACGUCAUUUUCGCCAUUCAUGUCUAUGGGGUUUCUCAUUGCGGAUAUCUACAAUUCAGUUGCGGAUAUCCACUUUGUGAAUUACGGAUAUCUGCAACUGAAUUGUAGAUAUCUGUAAUUCCAGUUUGAGAUAUCUACAAUUUGAUUCUGACUAGUCAUAAUUCCAGUUCAAGAUAUCUUUAAUUCACCUCAAUUCAAGAUAUCUACAUGUCCCUUUUCAGAUAUCUUAAAUUAAGUUUUGACUAGGCGAAAUUAAGUUGUAGAUAUCUCUAACUGGAGUUACGACUAGUCAAAAUGACGUUGUAGAUAUCUCUAACUGGAGUUACGACUAGGCGAAAUGACGUUGUAGAUAUCUAAUAUCAAGUUAUAGAUAUCUUGAAAGGAAUUUUGAUUAGAGAUAUCUACAAUUGUAGAUAUCUUUAACUUUCAUUCUGCCUAGGCGAAACUGAAUUAAAGAUAUCUUGAAU
Gadus morhua (Atlantic cod) is the source of this 1745-nucleotide long non-coding RNA. NCBI's taxonomy places the organism in Eukaryota, Metazoa, Chordata, Actinopteri, Gadiformes, Gadidae. The record is from Ensembl.